AAAUAAAUAGCGUGGUCGUUAUGCGAUUGAGCUGUUAGCUGAAAAGCUAAAAACAUAAGUGCGAAUAUUAUUUUAUUUU
Molecule: transfer RNA, 79 nt
Filed under: Serratia marcescens
Lineage: Bacteria; Pseudomonadati; Pseudomonadota; Gammaproteobacteria; Enterobacterales; Yersiniaceae
Description: tRNA-Asn(gtt)
Source: RNAcentral